GACGAACGCUGGCGGCGUGCUUAACACAUGCAAGUCGAACGGCAAGGCACUGCUUUUGUGGGGUGCUCGAGUGGCGAACGGGUGAGUAACACGUGAGUAACCUGCCCUUGACUUUGGGAUAACUUCAGGUAACUGGGGCUAAUCCCGGAUAGGAGCUCCUGCUGCAUGGUGGGGGUUGGAACGUUUCGGCGGUUGGGGAUGGACUCGCGGCUUAUCAGCUUGUUGGUGGGGUAGUGGCUUACCCAGGCUUUGACGGGUAGCCGGCCUGAGAGGGUGACCGGCCACAUUGGGACUGCGAUACGGCCCAGACUCCAACGGGAGGCAGCAGGGGGGAGUAUGGCACAAUGGGCGGAAGCCUGAUGCAGCAACGCCGCGUGCGUGAUGACGGCCUUCUGGUUGUAAACCGCUUUCGCCUGUGACGAAGCGUGAGUGACGGUAAUGGGUAAAGAAGCACCGGCUAACUACGUG
Molecule: ribosomal RNA, 468 nt
Filed under: uncultured bacterium
Lineage: Bacteria
Description: partial 16S ribosomal RNA
Rfam family: Bacterial small subunit ribosomal RNA
Source: RNAcentral